Molecule: ribosomal RNA, 1547 nt
Filed under: Clinostomum sp. ECR-2020
Lineage: Eukaryota; Metazoa; Platyhelminthes; Trematoda; Strigeidida; Clinostomidae
Description: partial large subunit ribosomal RNA
Rfam family: Eukaryotic large subunit ribosomal RNA
Source: RNAcentral
GCACCGAAGCCUGCGGUCAUUUGACUGCUAGGCAAUGUGGUGUUUAGGUUGGUUCUUGGCAUUACUGCUCCACCCUAAGUCCAGCAAUGAGUACGGCUUACUGGAUUGGCCCAUUGAGGGUGAAAGGCCCGUGUGGGUGGAGACCCAGAUUGUCAGUUUUGCCCUGAAUUAACCUUGGAGUCGGGUUGUUUGUGAAUGCAGCCCAAAGUGGGUGGUAAACUCCAUCUAAGGCUAAAUACUGGCACGAGUCCGAUAGCGAACAAGUACCGUGAGGGAAAGUUGAAAAGUACUUUGAAGAGAGAGUAAACAGUUCGUGAACCCGCUCAGAGGUAAACGGGUGGAGUUGAACUGGAAGCCCUGGGGAUUCAGCUGAUGAGUAUGGCAUGAGCUUGGGCAUAUUGGUCGGCUUUCAGAGUCCGCUUAGCUGUGGGUCCUUGCCCUAACGGGUUUGGAUGUGCGUUACGCUCAUUAGGCGUUGUGCGCUCUGUCUGUUCCGGGCCUGCUCGUCAGUGCAAUUCCUCAGGGUGUUCACCACGACCGGCGCUGCUGUCUGUCUGUUGCGGUCAAACCGGUUGGGCUUAGUCAUUUUGGCUAAGUUUGAUCGGGAUGGCAGGUAGCUCUUGAGAUUUUCUGGCUUCGGUUAGUAAAGCUCUUGAGUGUAAUUAGCCGACUGUAAUGGAUCUGUGCAGUGCGUCGGAGCUGGCGGCUUUGGUGUGUGUACGCGUGCUGUACCUUGCUGGCUUGGUCAAGUUUGGUUAAUGUGUUACCUGCUUCGGUGGGUCUAUUAAUGGCUUGACUUUGCAUGGUGAGUGGUGGCGCGUGCGACGCUAUCUAGGGCCAAAAGUCUGUGGUGUUGUGGUAAACUAUCCACCCGACCCGUCUUGAAACACGGACCAAGGAGUUUAACAUGUACGCGAGUCAUUGGGCGUUACGAAACCCAAAGGCGUAGUGAAAGUAAAGGUUCGGCUUGUCCGAGCUGAGGUGAGAUCCUGCUGUUUCUCUGCCUUGGACUACCAAGCAUUCGAGCAGUAGGCGCAUCACCGGCCCGUCUCAUGAUGUAGUCAUAUGACCUUUGGUUGUGUGCACCUUCGGGGCGGAGCUAGAGCGUACACGUUGAGACCCGAAAGAUGGUGAACUAUGCCUGCGCAGGUUGAAGCCAGAGGAAACUCUGGUGGAGGACCGCAGCGAUUCUGACGCGCAAAUCGAUCGUCUAACGUGGGUAUAGGGGCGAAAGACUAAUCGAACCAUCUAGUAGCUGGUUCCCUCCGAAGUUUCCCUCAGGAUAGCUGGCAUUCUGAUAAAUAAACAGUUUUAUCCGGUAAAGCGAAUGAUUAGAGAUAUUGGGGAGAAAUCAUCCUCAACCUAUUCUCAAACUUUAAAUGGGUGAGAAGCUUUGCUCGCUUAAUUGGAGUAAGGCGUUGAAUGUGAGUGCCAAGUGGGCCAUUUUUGGUAAGCAGAACUGGCGCUGUGGGAUGAACCAAACGUUCGGAUAAGGUGCCUAACUCAACGCUCAUGAGAUACCACAAAAGGUGUUGGUUGGUCCAGAC